RNAcentral lists this ribosomal RNA (433 nucleotides) under uncultured bacterium. RNAcentral describes it as "partial 16S ribosomal RNA". It matches the Rfam family "Bacterial small subunit ribosomal RNA", at positions 29 to 507 of the family's 1533-position model. The record is from RNAcentral.
AACGAACGCUGGCGGCAGGCUUAACACAUGCAAGUCGAGCGCAUCCUUCGGGGUGAGCGGCAGACGGGUGAGUAACGCGUGGGAAUCUACCUUUUGCUACGGAAUAGCUCCGGGAAACUGGAAUUAAUACCGUAUGUGCCCUUAGGAGGAAAGAUUUAUCGGCAAGAGAUGAGCCCGCGUUGGAUUAGCUAGUUGGUGGGGUAAAGGCCUACCAAGGCGACGAUCCAUAGCUGGUCUGAGAGGAUGAUCAGCCACAUUGGGACUGAGACACGGCCCAAACUCCUACGGGAGGCAGCAGUGGGGAAUAUUGGACAAUGGGCGCAAGCCUGAUCCAGCCAUGCCGCGUGAGUGAUGAAGGCCUUAGGGUUGUAAAGCUCUUUCACCGGAGAAGAUAAUGACGGUAUCCGGAGAAGAAGCCCCGGCUAACUUCGUG